GCCAAGCUGUAAACACUGACACACUCUUUCUUUGUCCGCCAGAGAAUAACGAGCCAAAGCUUAAAACCCAAAGGACUUGGCGGCGCUUCACACACCCUAGAGGGGCCUGUCACAUAAUCGAUAACCCACGAUAAACCUCACCACUUUUAGCCCAUUAGCCUAUAUACCGCCGUCGCCAGCCCAUCCCGAUAGGAAAGAAAAAUGGACCCAAUAGUCUCUACACUAGCACGACAGGUCAAGGUGUAGCUUAUAAAGUGGCAAAUGAUGGACCACAUUGCUUUUUCCAGCCAUACUCGAACUGCCCUGAAACACGCACUUUAAAGGUGAAUUUAACAGUAAGUUGGGCAAGAAAACCCACCUAAAGAAUGCUCUGAAGCGUGC
RNAcentral lists this ribosomal RNA (381 nucleotides) under Kinyongia fischeri (Fischer's chameleon). RNAcentral's name for it is "partial 12S rRNA". It matches the Rfam family "Bacterial small subunit ribosomal RNA", at positions 794 to 1384 of the family's 1533-position model. Lineage: Eukaryota; Metazoa; Chordata; Lepidosauria; Squamata; Chamaeleonidae. The record is from RNAcentral.